RNAcentral lists this ribosomal RNA (406 nucleotides) under uncultured bacterium. Its description in RNAcentral is "partial 16S ribosomal RNA". It matches the Rfam family "Bacterial small subunit ribosomal RNA", at positions 30 to 526 of the family's 1533-position model. The record is from RNAcentral.
AUUGAACGCUGGCGGCAUGCCUAACACAUGCAAGUCGAACGAGUGGCGGACGGGUGAGUAAUGUCUGGGAAACUGCCUGAUGGAGGGGGAUAACUACUGGAAACGGUAGCUAAUACCGCAUACCAUUCGAUCUGCCCAGAUGGGAUUAGCUAGUUGGUGGGGUAAAGGCUCACCAAGGCGACGAUCCCUAGCUGGUUUGAGAGGAUGACCAGCCAAACUUGAACUGGGGCACGGGCCAGGCUCCUACGGGGGGGAGCAGUGGGGAAUAUUGCACAAUGGGGGCAAGCCUGAUGCAGGCAUGCCGCGUGGAUGAAGGAGGCCUUCGGGUUGUAAAGUACUUUCAGCGGGGAAGCGUUACCCGCAGAAGAAGCACCGGCUAACUCCGUGCCAGCAGCCGCGGUAAUAC